AAGAAUUCAACACGGUCUGAACUAGAGGAAAGAUAUAAGGAUUAGGGGGGCCCACUUGCAGUAAGCAAGGGGUUCUUCUCCCAGAAUCCUCCUCUUUUUGGCCUUUUAACUGUUUUUCUUUUUUUCCUUUUCUAAGUGAGAGGGCUCCCCCAUCCCAGUAGUUUCUGAUAGGGAAGUUAACGGAGGAGCGACCCCUGCUGGCUGAGAACUGCAAAUUCAGCAGGGCACAUCUGAGACACUCUGAACAGAUACAAACAGCCUCUAAACCAACUUUUCAAUCCCAAAUUCGAUUCCAGGCUUCAGGCUGAGGCCCUAGAGAGAAAAACCAGGUCCGAGGGAUCCAAAGCCAGGCAACAGGCACAAUGUAAAUGGGCAGAACCAAUUCCUGACGAGUGAACCCCCCACCACAUAGAAGGAGGCCAUGUUCCAUGGCACAAACAGGCCCAGGGAACUCAGUUUGCUGACAGCAGGAAGAAAGGGAGGGAGAAAGGGAGGUGUAGAUGAGAGCAGUUAAUUCCUAUUCUCCAGGUUUUCCCUGCUUCAUGGGUACAUACCGCAUUGGUACCCAUGGCUGGCACCUGACAAGGUCACCAGGGCUCAGGGACAAGAGGUGGAGGGUGCAGGGAGGAUACUCGCUUUCUCUCUCCAUCACACUCUGAGUAUUCGCUGAAAGAAGGAAGGGAGUAGGGGACGCCUUUUUUCCCUGUCUUUCAGAAUGGGCAACCAGUUCUCUUCACCACCCCCAGCUUAUACUCUUCUGGAGUAUAAUGUAUUCUGAACCAUUGGGAUUGCUUUGACCCUCAGCAUCUGAAGGAAAAGCACCUCAUAGCCCUCUGCACAAAGGAAGAGGUCCAAAGAGUUUUGAGAUUCUCAGAUGGUCAGUGGCCCCCAGAAGUUUAAGAUCCAUUUAAGGAGACUUUGAGGAGGGGGUUGCUCAGUGCGAGGGUCCAGGGACAAAUGUACCCAAAGCACACAGAGCCAAGAUCUUGGGUGGCUUAUAGGUGGGAGAGGCUCUCCCCAAUCUUCAACAGAGACCAGCUCCUCUUCCCACUGAGCUCAAUACCAGCCUUUGCGGGGUCCCUUUAGAAUCCUGCAACAAAUGGAGCCGGGGGCGGUGACACCUCCUCCCGCCUGCUUCUUUGAUAAUUGAGGGAACCUCAUGUUGAGAUCUCACACUUGUCAUCAUUUGAUAAAAAGCUAGGUUUAACUGGCCACUGACACAGAUGAUUUGGGGGGAAAUUAUAUAUUUUUGGGAGGGGGCGCUGCUGAAAUCCACAGGCUUCAUACAAUUCCAAACAAAGCCCCACAUAUCACUUCAAUUACCACCAAACAUUUCCAGUUCCCCUCCCCCAACAUAAACUAACACAAGCAAACACUUCGAAGUAGGGGUUCUAACUUAACUUUCUCCCUUGUCCGGAAGACAGCCAACAAAGGGUGGUAAGGCACCAUUUCUCCCAUCACCAUUUAGCUAAGAAAGCAAGGUCCAGGGCUGGGAGCACUCUUCUCUGCCCCACCCCCAGCCAAGUAGGUAAGGGAGAGAGGGGAGGAGGAGGUGUGGUUUGGUUAAACUAAUAAAAUGUUACAACCCUGUUAAAUACAAUUAAAAGGAUAGAUCUCUCAAAGAUAAUUAAAUGCACUUUAUUAUUAUGAUUAUUAGCUUUUAAUUUACACUGUUAAGAAAUGGAAGAUGGCGAAAACUGAGUUAUGUGGCAUACUUGUAUUCAAACUAAUCCUUUGGAAUUAAAAUUCUAAAAUAUUCCAAAUAGUUGAGGGAAAUAAUAUGUGUUGGAAACUGGAGUUCUCACACCAGCAAAGAUACUUUUAGACAUCACUUCUCAGGAAGUUAACUUAAGAGAAGUCUUGACAGGCCAGGCACUGUGGCUCACUCCUGUAAUCCCAGCACUUUAGGAGGCCGAGGCAGGCAGAUAACGAGGUCAGGAGUUCGAGACCAGCCUGGCCAAUAUGGUGAAACCCUGUGUCUACUAAAAAUACAAAAAUUAGCAAGGAGUGGUGGCGUGCGCCUGUAGUCCCAGCUACUUGGGAGGCUGAGGCAGGAGAAACGCUGCAGUGGAGGUUGCAGUGAGCCAAGAUCGCACCACUGCACUCCAGCCUGGGCGACAGAGCAAGACUCCGUCUCAAAAAAAGAAAAGUCUUGACUUUAUUUGUAGGGGCUCAGGGGAAGAUAAGAAACAUCUGCUUUAAACAUCCUAUCAAUCUUGUGAUAUAGAAUGUAAUGUAAACACUCAACCCACCCCCACAGCCACAAAGGGCCUAUCCAGAGACUUCUUCUAAAGCAAAGAUACCACCUUUUUUUUUUUUUUCAUUUUUUUCUGGACAAAUUUUAAAUAAACCAGUCUUUUUCUCAAAGGAAAACUAAAAAGCCCACCAGCCCAUCAGUCCCCUCCCUCCAACCCACCCGUCUUUAUCACUUUUUGAAAAAAAUAAGCCCCAAACAACAACAAAAACCCACACAAACCAACCCAGAAACUGCUAACCUGAACGCCAGAGAUUUUUGGCUGCGGGAGUGAAUAGACUGCAGGGAAAGAAGGGAAGAGAUGCUAGGAGGUCUCAAACUCCCCAGAUUUGCAAACAAGUGCUCAAAGGCGAAUGCUUCCCCUAGACAUGAAGGGAGGGGAAUGGGCCAGGGGGUGGAAGCCAUUCCUCACCGGAUCUCUGCCCUCUCCCCACCAGCACACCCCGACCCCGAUUUUUUUUUCCACGUCUUCAUCUCUGUUGGGACUUUUCCAAGAGUGAGUGAAGAAGACAGGACAAAUGAGUAGGGAAAGAAAAGGGGGAAGGAAACAAAACGAAUCCAAGUCCUGUUCAAAAAUAUCCAACGGCUUCCACAGGCCCAGCGUCAGAGAGGAGGCUCACAAAUUUGGCUUUUAUAUUAGUUGAAUGGAACAAACUCCUAACGACUCAAAGCCAACAAAAACAGCGCUCAGGCUGGGUGCCUCUCCCAUCAGGCCCAGCCCUGCCAUAUCACCAAAAAACUCCAAAAGUGGGGCGGGUUUUGAAGGGCACUUAAGAAAGAGAACCCUCCCCCCAACUACACUCCCCAACACACACACACCUCAUUCUUCAGUCCUGGCGCCCACACCCCUGUUUUUUUUUCUCCUUUUUUCUUUUAAAUAGAAAAUAUAUAUAAUUAAAUUUACAAAGACUAUUUACAGUUUUAAUUACAAACCUUGUGGGGGUGUUGGGCAGAGAGUUCUCUUUUAAAAAGCAACCUAAAAGUGAAAUGGUUUCGAUCGUUUUUUAUUUAAAAAAAUAAAAUACGGAGUCUGUAGGGGCCCCACCCCGG
RNAcentral lists this long non-coding RNA (3304 nucleotides) under Homo sapiens (human). RNAcentral's name for it is "HSALNT0241211". The record is from RNAcentral. Lineage: Eukaryota; Metazoa; Chordata; Mammalia; Primates; Hominidae.